This 696-nucleotide ribosomal RNA is filed under the name uncultured bacterium. RNAcentral describes it as "bacterial SSU rRNA". It matches the Rfam family "Bacterial small subunit ribosomal RNA", at positions 111 to 823 of the family's 1533-position model. The record is from RNAcentral.
UAACGCGUGAGGAACCUGCCUCAAAGAGGGGGACAACAGUUGGAAACGACUGCUAAUACCGCAUAAGCCCACGGCUCGGCAUCGAGCAGAGGGAAAAGGAGCAAUCCGCUUUGAGAUGGCCUCGCGUCCGAUUAGCUAGUUGGUGAGGUAACGGCCCACCAAGGCGACGAUCGGUAGCCGGACUGAGAGGUUGAACGGCCACAUUGGGACUGAGACACGGCCCAGACUCCUACGGGAGGCAGCAGUGGGGAAUAUUGCACAAUGGGGGAAACCCUGAUGCAGCGACGCCGCGUGGAGGAAGAAGGUCUUCGGAUUGUAAACUCCUGUUGUUGAGGAAGAUAAUGACGGUACUCAACAAGGAAGUGACGGCUAACUACGUGCCAGCAGCCGCGGUAAAACGUAGGUCACAAGCGUUGUCCGGAAUUACUGGGUGUAAAGGGAGCGCAGGCGGGAGAACAAGUUGGAAGUGAAAUCCAUGGGCUCAACCCAUGAACUGCUUUCAAAACUGUUUUUCUUGAGUAGUGCAGAGGUAGGCGGAAUUCCCGGUGUAGCGGUGGAAUGCGUAGAUAUCGGGAGGAACACCAGUGGCGAAGGCGGCCUACUGGGCACCAACUGACGCUGAGGCUCGAAAGUGUGGGUAGCAAACAGGAUUAGAUACCCUGGUAGUCCACACCGUAAACGAUGAUUACUAGGUGU